AUACGGAGGGUGCGAGCGUUAUCGGGAUUUAUUAGGUUUAAAGGGUGUGUAGGCGGGAGCCUAAGUCAGUGGGGAAAUCUCACAGCUUAACUGUGAAACUGCCAUUGAAACUGGGUUUCUUGAGUAUAGUUGAGGUAGGCGGAAUGUGUAAUGUAGCGGUGAAAUGCAUAGAUAUUACACAGAACACCGAUUGCGAAGGCAGCUUACUAAGCUAUUACUGACGCUGAUGCACGAAAGCGUGGGUAGCGAACAGGAUUAGAAACCCCAGUAGUCC
This 274-nucleotide ribosomal RNA is filed under the name uncultured bacterium. RNAcentral's name for it is "partial 16S ribosomal RNA". It matches the Rfam family "Bacterial small subunit ribosomal RNA", at positions 523 to 796 of the family's 1533-position model. The record is from RNAcentral.